GCGACACUAGCUCAGUUGGUAGAGCGCAACCUUGCCAAGGUGGAGGUCACGAGUUCGAACCUCGUGUGUCGCUCCA
RNAcentral lists this transfer RNA (76 nucleotides) under Vibrio parahaemolyticus. RNAcentral describes it as "tRNA-Gly". It matches the Rfam family "tRNA". From Rfam's summary of the family: Transfer RNA (tRNA) molecules are approximately 80 nucleotides in length. Their secondary structure includes four short double-helical elements and three loops (D, anti-codon, and T loops). The record is from RNAcentral. Lineage: Bacteria; Pseudomonadati; Pseudomonadota; Gammaproteobacteria; Vibrionales; Vibrionaceae.